RNAcentral lists this ribosomal RNA (253 nucleotides) under uncultured bacterium. RNAcentral describes it as "partial 16S ribosomal RNA". It matches the Rfam family "Bacterial small subunit ribosomal RNA", at positions 524 to 776 of the family's 1533-position model. The record is from RNAcentral.
UACAUGGGGUGCAAACGUUGCUCGGAAUUAUUGGGCGUAAAGCGCACGUAGGCGGUUUGUUAAGUCGGAUGUGAAAUCCCUCGGCUCAACUGAGGAAGUGCAUCCGAAACUGGCAGGCUUGAGUACUAAAGAGGGUCGCGGAAUUCCCGGUGUAGAGGUGAAAUUCGUAGAUAUCGGGAGGAACACCGGUGGCGAAGGCGGCGACCUGGGUAGAUACUGACGCUGAGGUGCGAAAGCGUGGGUAGCGAACAGG